AUUGAACGCUGGCGGCAGGCCUAACACAUGCAAGUCGAGCGGAUGAAGGGAGCUUGCUCCUGGAUUCAGCGGCGGACGGGUGAGUAAUGCCUAGGAAUCUGCCUGGCAGUGGGGGAUAACGUCCGGAAACGGGCGCUAAUACCGCAUACGUCCUGAGGGAGAAAGUGGGGGAUCUUCGGACCUCACGCUAUCAGAUGAGCCUAGGUCGGAUUAGCUAGUUGGUGGGGUAAAGGCCUACCAAGGCGACGAUCCGUAACUGGUCUGAGAGGAUGAUCAGUCACACUGGACCUGAGCCACGGUCCAGCCUCCUACGGGAGGCAGCAGUGGGGAAUAUUGGACAAUGGGCGACAGCCUGAUCCAGCCAUGCCGCGUGUGUGAAGAAGGUCUUCGGAUUGUAAAGCACUUUAAGUUGGGAGGAAGGGCAGUAAGUUAAUACCUUGCUGUUUUGACGUUACCAACAGAAUAAGCACCGGCUAACUUCGUG
This 484-nucleotide ribosomal RNA is filed under the name uncultured bacterium. Its description in RNAcentral is "partial 16S ribosomal RNA". It matches the Rfam family "Bacterial small subunit ribosomal RNA", at positions 30 to 507 of the family's 1533-position model. The record is from RNAcentral.